GGCGAUAAGUCAGAGGAAGGCGGGGGCAACGGUAGGUCAGUAUGCCCUGAAUCCUCCGGGCUACACGCGCGCUACAAAGGCUAGGACAAUGAGUUUCAACACCGAGAGGUGAAGGUAAUCUCGAAACCUAGUUAUAGUUCGGAUUGAGGGUUGAAACUCACCCUCAUGAAGCUGGAAUCCGUAGUAAUCGCAGAUCAACAUCCUGCGGUGAAUAUGCCCCUGCUCCUUGCACACACCGCCCGUCAAACCAUGCGAGUUGGGUUUGAGUGAGGAUGUAGUUUUUGCUACAUUCAAACUUAGGCUUAGUAAGCGGGGUUAAGUCGUAACAAGGUAACC
RNAcentral lists this ribosomal RNA (336 nucleotides) under uncultured archaeon. Its description in RNAcentral is "bacterial SSU rRNA". It matches the Rfam family "Archaeal small subunit ribosomal RNA", at positions 1110 to 1448 of the family's 1478-position model. The record is from RNAcentral.